CGUACACUCCUGCGGGAGGCAGCAGUGGGGAAUAUUGCACAAUGGGCGCAAGCCUGAUGCAGCGACGCCGCGUGGGGGAUGAAGGCCUUCGGGUUGUAAACUCCUUUCGCUAGGGACGAAGCUUUUUUGUGACGGUACCUAGAUAAGAAGCACCGGCUAACUACGUGCCAGCAGCCGCGGUAAUACGUAGGGUGCGAGCGUUGUCCGGAAUUACUGGGCGUAAAGGGCUCGUAGGUGGUUUGUCGCGUCGUCUGUGAAAUUCUGGGGCUUAACUCCGGGCGUGCAGGCGAUACGGGCAUAACUUGAGUGCUGUAGGGGUAACUGGAAUUCCUGGUGUAGCGGUGAAAUGCGCAGAUAUCAGGAGGAACACCGAUGGCGAAGGCAGGUUACUGGGCAGUUACUGACGCUGAGGAGCGAAAGCAUGGGUAGCGAACAGGAUUAGAAACCCCAGUAGUCC
This 457-nucleotide ribosomal RNA is filed under the name uncultured organism. RNAcentral's name for it is "partial 16S ribosomal RNA". It matches the Rfam family "Bacterial small subunit ribosomal RNA", at positions 330 to 796 of the family's 1533-position model. The record is from RNAcentral.